UACGAAGGGGGCUAGCGUUGCUCGGAAUCACUGGGCGUAAAGCGCACGUAGGCGGAUCUUUAAGUCAGGGGUGAAAUCCCAAGGCUCAACCUUGGAACUGCCUUUGAUACUGGGGAUCUCGAGUCCGGAAGAGGUGAGUGGAACUGCGAGUGUAGAGGUGAAAUUCGUAGAUAUUCGCAAGAACACCAGUGGCGAAGGCGGCUCACUGGUCCGGUACUGACGCUGAGGUGCGAAAGCGUGGGAGCAAACAGG
Molecule: ribosomal RNA, 252 nt
Filed under: uncultured bacterium
Lineage: Bacteria
Description: partial 16S ribosomal RNA
Rfam family: Bacterial small subunit ribosomal RNA
Source: RNAcentral